RNAcentral lists this long non-coding RNA (6257 nucleotides) under Homo sapiens (human). Its description in RNAcentral is "HSALNT0171619". Lineage: Eukaryota; Metazoa; Chordata; Mammalia; Primates; Hominidae. The record is from RNAcentral.
CCCAGCCCCGCCUCUCUCGGCGGACCGCGCCCCCUUCCGGGAGCCCCGCCCCGUUCGCCGCGCCUCCUCCUCCGCACAGCUCCGGUUGCGGGGAGGCCCGGGUGGGUACCCGGCGCUCCGGCUCCCAGUCUCCUGGGCUUCUCCAGUCCUUCAGCGCCGUUCUCCGGUCACAGGGAAUGAAAGCGAGGAAGAAGGAAACGGUGUCGAGAAUUGCGAAGAGAGAAAGCAUAGAAAACCCACAUUAGAGGCACUCCCAGAGCAGAAACCCUUCGGAGCAUCCCGACUUCCUCGGCCCGCGUGCAAUCCAGGCAAAAUUGAGGUUGUCUCUGAGCCGCCCUCCCUAAGCAGGUCGGAAAGCCCCCGAAUCAUCCCAGGUCCCGCCGCGCUGCACUCGCAACCUGGGGUGGAGGUCCCUCUAGUGGUUGGCACCAAACAAAAGUUCUGUCUUAUGAAGAGCCGAGGUCAGGAAGCAUUUCCCUGUGCCCAGCGCCAAGGUCUGGGACCUUAGGUCCAAGAAAAGCGUUGGCAAUGUCUGACCACAGGAAUGGGUUCUCGAACUGGGGAGGACUGAAGCUGGAGAUCUGGUCCAGCCCCUACCUCCAGCGUGUGGCCUGAACCCGUUUUGGUUGUACUGCUAUGUUGUGGCCCUGCCCAGGCCUCCAAGGACUGGCUGCUGUUAAGCUGUUUAAAAUCCCUGUAGGCCUCAGAUGGCAGCGACACCAGGGACUCGGCAUAGUCCCCAGCUCUGGCAGGAGUCACCACAGCCCUAGCCUUUAGUUCUCUACAGGCUGGAGUGUCGACAAACUCCACAGGACACAACUUUUUCAAACCAAAUUUACCCUCGCGGUCUGAAAUGACCAGUAGGCCCAGGAGAAUUUUACAUGUGAACAGAACCUAACCCACCCUGGCAAAUAUGAGACGUGUGGUCACUGCGGGAACCUGGCCAGCAGCAGACCAAAGCACAGCCAGCAGGGGAAGGCUGGGGCCCGCAAGAGUUGUGUUACAACAGGACACCCUUCAGUUCUCUUUCACUUCCUUAAAAUAGCAGCAGAGCGACUUUUGUAGACGCAGGCUGCCACAGUUCACACAAGGUCAUGGCUGUUUCCGAAUCCCACCCUUUAUUGCCCUAGCGGAGCCACUCCCCUUACCUCCGCCCCCAGAAACUGCUAGCCUGUUCUUAAAUUGAUACAGUUACCUUUUUAAAUGUUCUAAGUCACCGGCUCUGGAGCUUCUUUGCACUUUGGAACCAACUUGCGGGAAGGAACUUUAAAAAUACUGAUAUCUCGAUCCAUCCCCAGAGGUUCUGAUUUAAUGGUCUUGGGGAUAUGGCCACGGCAUGAGGACUGUUAAAACUCCGCAGGUGAUUCUUAUGUGCAACAAAGUUUAAGAACCACUGAUGUAGGCCAUGUCGAUGUCAGUCUUCACUUAAAUCCAACAAGACCCCAGAGCUAAAACGUUCACCUGAAAGAAACCCCAUUCCCAGGCCUGCAUACUGACCUGCGCUGGCUCACAAGAAGCAAAGUGGUCCCUUAACAGGGGCUUCCUGGAGAAAAUGUCUUGACCUAAAAGAGUGAUUCGAGCUGCAGGGAUUUAAGAGAGACAGGGCCUUGCUCUGUCACCCAGGCUGAAAUGCAGUGUUGCAAUCUUGGCUCGCUGUAGCCUCAAGCUCUUGGACUCAGGCGAUUCUCCUAUCUCAGCUUCCUAAGUAGCUGGGACUACAGGGCUCAGUGUGGUCAAAAGAAGACUAUAGAAUCAAGGAUGAAGAGAAGGAACACAGAAUAAAAGGACGUCUCAGCAGGAAGCUCUGUGACUACUAUGUAAUUCUUACAAUACAGCAAAUGAUGCCAUACAGUGAAGCACCUUGAAAGAUUGCUGGGAUAAGCUGACAGCAUGGCAGCCAAAAUAGUGACCCCAGGCUUGCAGGAAUUCUGUGCUUUCUGGAGGAAAUGGUCAUGGGUUUCCCAACCUGCCUUUUAAACUAAGGACCGAGCUGAAGAAGCCCCCGUCUUCCAGCGCAUGUUAUUCCCAUGACAGAUGCUAAAAGUUCAAGGGGAGAGCUACAAGAAGUGCGUUUUCCUGUGGCUACUUUCAUGUCUGGAUGCAAUGCCUAGACCUGCAUCCAUCUUGCGACCAACCUGAAGAUGAACAGAAAGGAAGGAAGGAUGGCCCAAUAGCCUGGGAAGAACUGGUGUUCCUGAUACCAUCAUUAACCACAGAAUCUACAAUCCCGGAACCCCCCAUCCUUAACCAUGGAAUCUACAAUCCUAUCUCUAGACCCUUUGUCCAGAUGCUACAGUUUCUUUGUUCAAUCUAGUUUGUGUCAGGAUUUCUGUUCAUUACAUCAAAAGUAUUCUAAUACUUGUAGCAAAGCAACUGGAGAAGUUUUCACUUUGUCUUUAACCAAAGAAGACUUCCAGGAAACAUCUCCUCAGUGGGUUUCUCCCUCACCACUGGAUUUUUAUCUCUGUACUAGUGCUUUGAUUUGUUUUAGGAGUCUCACCUCUCCACCUGUCAUAUUUCCCUGGCAGGCUCAUUUCUGCUAAUGCCCACAAUAUGUGUAUCAAUGAGCUUUCAACGUUAGGUACACAGCUCUUCAGGCAUGUAUAGCACAUUAAUCUGUCUGCUUCUAAGUGGUCUGUUGACAUGUUUGGGUGCCAGUUAUAUCUACAAGGCUGUGAUCAUUGUCCUGGGUUAUUCUGUUUGUUCUCUCUGCAGGAUGCAUUAGGACACCCAAGGCCAUGGCCAUCACUUACAUCUAGGAUUCAAUCUUAUCUCCUGUGAAUCACUGGAAACCUCCUGUCCUGGAACCCUUUUUUUCCACAUCCCACUGGAUGUCAUUCAUAGCAACUGGUCUUGUGGGUUGUCUAUUUUAUUGUGUUGUCUUACUCUUCCUCCUGGUAUCAGUUUUUAAAUCCUCUUGAUGAGAUCAGCUGAUCAGUCGCUAAGCAACAUAGUCCCCCAUGUCUUUGUAAGAUUCUCUGCACUCAUGGCUAGAAUGAUUUAUUCUGGUAUCUUAAGCUGUGUUUCAGAACCUCAUUCUAAAUAUCAACCUAUUCUUGUAAGUCCACUACUGAUCAUCUUUAGAUAUUCUUCAGUCUUCCAGAGUUCCAAAGGGCAGUAGGAAGAAGCAAUGAAAAUACCACCUGUAUUCUCACAUCUUUCAUUGUUCCACUCAAAAAAUACCACCAUGUUCACUUCUGGUGGAACGUUUAUGUCCAUGAGAAGCAGUGGCUUUGAAGAGUUUUGGCAGACUAUGGCGCCUUACUCAACAUUGGGAAGGUAUCUUGCCAUCAGACCUUUUGGGUCUCCAUGAAACUUCUUAUACCCCCUCUGGGAAAAGUCACUAACUGUGAUCUUACUGAGCUUCUAAACACAGCAUUUUUUUUACACUUAAGUGAGCGGGGGUCCUCCUCAUUUGUGCUUCUCUUCUUGUAAGGGUGACUUCCUCCCAGUAGGAUGAAUCUCAUGCCUAUUUGUGUUAUUUUGCUAAUUCCAGCUUCUUUUCUACUCAGGGGGGUUCCAACUCUUUUAAGGUCUCAUCUUCAGCACUUCUAAACUGUGGGAAACUAUGUGAAAACAAAUGGAGUGGCCAAACACACCAUUCAUCACUGUGCUUCUGGACAGCUGCAAGUCCAUACGUGUUCUGAUAAUUCAAUACAAGAAAGAAGAUUUGCUUGGGAAGGUCUGAAUGGCCCUAGCUUUGUUUGUUAACCAUAACCUCUACCAGCUGGAAACACAAUGCCCCACUAAUACUAACAGUGCCUGCUUGUCCAAACAGCAUUCUGGCCACUUACAGCAAUUGACACAAAUUCUAACAGGUAGAUGGGGCAAAGCAUUACCUUGUGUAAAACUGCUGCUAAAAUAUAUUCCUAGUGAGAAAGGUCAACUUGUGGGCUAAAGUCCUUGUCACCUCCUGAUCAGUUUUCACUUAGGGCACAGCAGUCUGCCAUUCACCAUUGGGAUCUCUGUGUGUUUCUUCUCUCUUAUGAAAGGACAUAUUGAGCGCUCUAGGACUUGGCUGCCUACAUCAAGUAGAGGGGGACCCUCAUGAUUCACUAAGGGGCCUCAGUUCUGAAUAUUUCUCAUUAUUCAAAAAUGCAAAGCCAUUGUCAUUACGUGGCAGUUUAUUGGAACCAAGGGAGGAAUUGGUCCCUUUUCAUGUUCUUCUCCUAAAUAGAGAAAAGGUAAUUAAAACUUGGAGCUUAAUAAGGGCCAUCUCUAUUUGAACAGCCUAAUACAAAUCCAUUCUCAAUACCUUUUUACACCUUGUCUGAACUGACUUCUACUGUGUACUCCACUGCAUGGGAAUUCUGGAACUUUAGAACGAAGGGAACUCAAUUCAUUCUAUAUAUAUCUCAUUCAUUCAUUUUUUUUUCAUUUGUUCACCAAAUGCUAACUCAAUACCUACGUAACAGAGAUAAUGUUCUUAUUGUCUGUAAAUCAGAAAAUGCAUGCAUUGAAUAAACGCCAUAUAUUCUUGGAAGCUGAGGGCUGAUAACUCAAGGUAAAUGAUCAGCUAGUCUCCUAUGAAAUAAGUAUCUUAUUUCAUGUUACAUGUAGAAAUGACCAUGCAACUUUAUCUUAAAGCCAGGCCUUAUUGAGAAAAAGGGGAUCCAAAUUCCAAAUGUUUCCUUACAUGCUGAGAGGAAACCUUGGAGGUCUGAGCGUGAGUCAUAGGUAGAGGGAAAUCAUGCUAAGAUAUAUAUUGUUUCCACCAGACAGGUAGAGGAAGCAGAGACCCUUUGGCAGAAGAGAUACAGAGAAGAGAGGAGGAGAGGUUCUGGCUUUACCGUUCAGGCUUGAAACCCCAAGUUUAGAUGGAUUGAGGGGGAAGCUUAAGGCAAACAUGACCCCUGGGCCAACACAGGCUAGAGGAACAAUGUAGAAAUGACCAUGUAACUUUAUAGGCAUGAAGAAGAUGCCUGUGAUGGCACUGAGUCUCCUGUGGCUCCCUUGUGUGCCCAAAUGCCUGAAGGAUGUGAGAGUAUUGGUUGUUAGAAUUUCAGGGAAUUCCACCAAGUGGGGAAUGACUCUGUAUUAAGGGCUGCAAAGAAAAGCUCCCAGGCCAAGCAUUGAGUGGGAGGUGCUACCUGCCCUCAGGGAUCCACAGGGACUUCAACAGCUGAUGUGGGGUCUCAUCAGCCUCAAGGUGGCCAAGUUUCUAUGCUGAGACUAUAGCCCACAGUUACACCAGCCAUGAUCCUCAGCAGCAGAGGUAGUGAUGAUGAAGUCUGAUGCCCAAAGACAAGCAGAACAAUAUGCACAGUUCCAGCCAAUGCCACGAGGUAGCCUUUGUACUUCCCUAUACCUAGCUGGGAGGGAGGAAGGAAGGAGAGAGGAGACUCCUAGGAAGAGGAGAAAAUAAUUAUCCCAAAGAGACUGACAUAACCUGGAAAAGACCGAGAACUACUAAUUAGCAAGAUAAAGUUCAUUUACCUCUUCCUGUUUCUUACCAAGAUGGUAUGUAUCCUUUCAGAUAAUAAAUAAAUUUAUGUUUUCUUGCCCUAUUUUAAUGUGAUUUAAAUGUUUCUUGUUUUUUCUGUUUUCAUUCAUAACAAAAAUUUUGUUCUCAGAGACACUGAGACAUGAGACACGAUGCUGGACUAUAUUGGGGGGGAGCACCUCAUCAUAUGGGCAAGAUAUUGCAGCAGCAUGUAGCCCUCCACGUCCUGACUGCUCACUUCUCUUUCGCCAUCCCCUAACACACGUAUUAGGCUUUUGCUAUGUUCAUUUAUCUAGCCCAUAAGCCACUCCUUCAGAGGGCAAUGCAUGGAAUUGGCAGCCUUGGUUCCCCACCAACUGACAGGGGUCUGGAAUUCAGGUGUUUCCAAAGACCUGCAGUCUUGGGGGCCUUAAUGCUUGCUGAGUAGCAGCACUUUCUAGGACUUUCCCUAUUGUACGUUUCAGUCCAUGCUUUUCUUUUUGUCUUGUCUCAGUGUUCUUCCCUGCUAGUCUGGUUCUCAACAAGACCCAAGCCCUGCAACACACCCAAAUCCCCUUGAUGGGAACCUGAUUUCCUACGUGGCUUUUCCCAGUCACCCCAUGCUCUCCCCACUCCCAUCUUUCCUGGUGAAUUGCUCCUUUCCUAAAUCUGUUGUGAAUAACAAUUUGGCCACAGUGCUAAAGCCUCUCACUCCUCACUUUAAAUUCCUUUGGGAAACAGUCAUUCAUGUUCAUUUUAGACAAUUUCCCUGUCCUGUGCGGACUCUUCUCAAGAAGUCUACUCCCAAAACUCCUGCUGAGGUAGGUCCAGGUCA